GGCGAGUGGCGAACGGGUGAGUAAUAUAUCGGAACGUACCCAGUAGCGGGGGAUAACUACUCGAAAGAGUAGCUAAUACCGCAUACGCCCUGAGGGGGAAAGGCUUCGGCCGCUCUUGGAUGAUCCCGCGUCUGAUUAGCUUGUUGGUGGGGUAACGGCCUACCAAGGCGACGAUCAGUAGCUGGUCUGAGAGGACGAUCAGCCACACUGGAACUGAGACACGGUCCAGACUCC
Molecule: ribosomal RNA, 234 nt
Filed under: uncultured bacterium
Lineage: Bacteria
Description: partial 16S ribosomal RNA
Rfam family: Bacterial small subunit ribosomal RNA
Source: RNAcentral